This 434-nucleotide ribosomal RNA is filed under the name uncultured Lachnospiraceae bacterium. RNAcentral describes it as "partial 16S ribosomal RNA". It matches the Rfam family "Bacterial small subunit ribosomal RNA", at positions 341 to 792 of the family's 1533-position model. Lineage: Bacteria; Bacillati; Bacillota; Clostridia; Lachnospirales; Lachnospiraceae. The record is from RNAcentral.
ACGGGAGGCAGCAGUGGGGAAUAUUGCACGAUGGGGGAAACCCUGAUGCAGCGACGCCGCGUGAGUGAAGAAGUAUUUCGGUAUGUAAAGCUCUAUCAGCAGGAAAGAAAAUGACGGUACCUGACCAAGAAGCCCCGGCUAACUACGUGCCAGCAGCCGCGGUAAUACGUAGGGGGCAAGCGUUAUCCGGAUUUACUGGGUGUAAAGGGAGCGUAGACGGCUUUGCAAGUCUGAAGUGAAAGCCCGGGGCUCAACCCCGGAACUGCUUUGGAAACUGUAGAGCUGGAGUGCAGGAGAGGUAAGUGGAAUUCCUAGUGUAGCGGUGAAAUGCGUAGAUAUUAGGAGGAACACCAGUGGCGAAGGCGGCUUACUGGACUGUAACUGACGUUGAGGCUCGAAGGCGUGGGGAGCAAACAGGAUUAGAUACCCUGGUA